AGUGAACGCUGGCGGUAGGCCUAACACAUGCAAGUCGAACGGCAGCACAGUAAGAGCUUGCUCUUACGGGUUGCGAGUGGCGGACGGGUGAGGAAUACAUCGGAAUCUACUUUUUCGUGGGGGUUAACGUAGGGAAACUUACUCUAAUACCGCAUACGACCUACGGUUGAAAGCAGGGGAUCUUCGGACCUUGCGCGAUUGAAUGCGCCGAUGUCGGAUUAGCUAGUUGGCGGGGUAAAGGCCCACCAAGGCGACGAUCCGUAGCUGGUCUGAGAGGAUGAUCAGCCACACUGGAACUGAGACACGGUCCAGACUCCUGCGGGAGGGAGCAGUCGGGAAUAUUGGACAAUGGGCGCAAGCCUGAUCCAGCCAUACCGCGUGGGUGAAGAAGGCCUUCGGGUUGUAAAGCCCUUCUGUUGGGAAAGAAAAGCAGCAGGUUAAUACCCCGCUGUUCUGACGGUACCCAAAGAAUAAGCACCGGCUAACUUCGUG
Molecule: ribosomal RNA, 492 nt
Filed under: uncultured bacterium
Lineage: Bacteria
Description: partial 16S ribosomal RNA
Rfam family: Bacterial small subunit ribosomal RNA
Source: RNAcentral